Molecule: ribosomal RNA, 486 nt
Filed under: uncultured bacterium
Lineage: Bacteria
Description: bacterial SSU rRNA
Rfam family: Bacterial small subunit ribosomal RNA
Source: RNAcentral
GGAGGCAGCAGUGGGGAAUCUUCCGCAAUGGACGAAAGUCUGACGGAGCAACGCCGCGUGAGUGAUGAAGGAUUUCGGUCUGUAAAGCUCUGUUGUUUAUGACGAAGUGCAGUGUGUGAACAAUGCAUUGCAAUGACGGUAGUAAACGAGGAAGCCACGGCUAACUACGUGCCAGCAGCCGCGGUAAUACGUAGGUGGCGAGCGUUGUCCGGAAUUAUUGGGCGUAAAGAGCAUGUAGGCGGCUUAAUAAGUCGAGCGUGAAAAUGCGGGGCUCAACCCCGUAUGGCGCUGGAAACUGUUAGGCUUGAGUGCAGGAGAGGAAAGGGGAAUUCCCAGUGUAGCGGUGAAAUGCGUAGAUAUUGGGAGGAACACCAGUGGCGAAGGCGCCUUUCUGGACUGUGUCUGACGCUGAGAUGCGAAAGCCAGGGUAGCGAACGGGAUUAGAUACCCCGGUAGUCCUGGCCGUAAACGAUGGGUACUAGGUGU